This 465-nucleotide ribosomal RNA is filed under the name uncultured Stenotrophomonas sp. RNAcentral describes it as "bacterial SSU rRNA". It matches the Rfam family "Bacterial small subunit ribosomal RNA", at positions 338 to 795 of the family's 1533-position model. The record is from RNAcentral. Lineage: Bacteria; Pseudomonadati; Pseudomonadota; Gammaproteobacteria; Lysobacterales; Lysobacteraceae.
CCUACGGGAGGCAGCAGUGGGGAAUAUUGGACAAUGGGCGCAAGCCUGAUCCAGCCAUACCGCGUGGGUGAAGAAGGCCUUCGGGUUGUAAAGCCCUUUUGUUGGGAAAGAAAUCCAGCCGGCUAAUACCUGGUUGGGAUGACGGUACCCAAAGAAUAAGCACCGGCUAACUUCGUGCCAGCAGCCGCGGUAAUACGAAGGGUGCAAGCGUUACUCGGAAUUACUGGGCGUAAAGCGUGCGUAGGUGGUUAUUUAAGUCCGUUGUGAAAGCCCUGGGCUCAACCUGGGAACUGCAGUGGAUACUGGAUGACUAGAAUGUGGUAGAGGGUAGCGGAAUUCCUGGUGUAGCAGUGAAAUGCGUAGAGAUCAGGAGGAACAUCCAUGGCGAAGGCAGCUACCUGGACCAACAUUGACACUGAGGCACGAAAGCGUGGGGAGCAAACAGGAUUAGAUACCCUAGUAGUC